Unclassified non-coding RNA from Ursus americanus (American black bear), 109 nucleotides. It matches the Rfam family "Y RNA". Rfam says of the family: Y RNAs are components of the Ro ribonucleoprotein particle (Ro RNP), in association with Ro60 and La proteins. Lineage: Eukaryota; Metazoa; Chordata; Mammalia; Carnivora; Ursidae. The record is from Ensembl.
GGCUGCUCUGAAGGUGUUAAGUUAUCUCAACUGAUUGUUCAGAGUCAGUUACAGAUCAGACUCCCUGUUGUACUCUUUCCCCCCUUCUCACUACUGCACUUGACCAAAA